Molecule: long non-coding RNA, 43933 nt
Filed under: Brassica napus (rape)
Lineage: Eukaryota; Viridiplantae; Streptophyta; Magnoliopsida; Brassicales; Brassicaceae
Description: long non-coding RNA (BNAP_LNC002275)
Source: RNAcentral
UAUUAGAAUUACAUUUGUUCUGAUGAUUAAGCAGAAUAGAUUCAACAUUUUAAGUCAAAGGAAGAUAAUCACUCUCAUCUAACAAAUUUUUAGAGUUUGGCACACACACAGACAAUAUUACUAGAGGUCACACACACACAUUACCCUAGGACACACAAAGUCCAAAAAUGCUUAAAGGAGGUCGUGAAGGAAUUUGAAAAGGUCGUCGAACUACAUUAUUCUGAUGAUUGGAAAUCUUUUUUUUUUUUUUGAUCAAGAUUGGAAAUCUUUUUACAUUGUAUUGUCUGGCUUAGUUUAGGAUUAAAAUUCUUAAAAUAUAAGGAAGCUUUUGUAUGCCUGAGUUAUGCUAAGUUCACAAUAUGAAGUGACGGGUAACAAAACCUAAAAUGAUUUACUCCGCAAACGGUUUAAUACAUGCGAGCCUUACAGGUUUCAGACCCAAACCAACGUAAGCAGAUUGACAUGAAUACAAAAUAGAAAUUAUGUUAUAUUCUGGACAACAACACAGAAGUUCAAUCCUUAACAGUCCCCCCUUUCUGCAAACACAUUAAAAUGUAUAAGAUAAUCCGAAAUAACACCAGCAACAUCUUAUGGUUCCUCAUCACGUAAGAGAGGCAUCACAAUGCAAGAAGUCCCAAAUGGUUCCAAGAGCAUCUCUAAGCAUUUCUAAAACACAGCCCCUCUCAAUGUUCUGCUCCUGCACACCAUAAGGGUAAUAAUCAUUGUAACCUCAAUUCAAUAAAGGUUUCAAAGACGCAAAAGAAAAACAGUUUACCUGUAACUUAGUGUUGAUGUCUUGAAGUAUCAAAGUCACUCCCCUCUCAACUUCCCAUGUCCCAAACCUCUCACUAUACCCAUUAGUCUCUCUGACCCUUAGCCUGAGAGUCUUGUUUUUGUAGGUAGUAGCUCUAACAUGACAAACUUCAAAUAUUGUGUAUCCAUUUUCAGAUGGAGGUUUACCAUGCGGCCACGUUAAUCCCCCUUUCACAGUCGAAUCUACAGUUACUGAAUCCAGCAUUCUUUGAAUGUUACUUCUCUCUUUCUCCUGCUUAUCAUAGAAAUAUAACCAAGAUAAGUUCAAGAAAAGCAUAACUAUAUCAAAAUCAACUCACCGUUAGGGUAAACAUCUUCCUUUUCCCGGCGAGCAUAAACCUCAUAUCAAGAUUCUUAUCGAUGCACGACACAUCAACAACCAAAUGCCUUAGAGGAUUCAGCUCAGCCUGCACCAAAAGGUCCAAGUUAAUAUCAUUGAUGAUGUUUAUAUAUAUGUUCACAGAAAGGGCUCAAGCCUUGCCUUGUACAUACUGAGACUUCCAUCUUCCUUCACGGUACAUUUACAUCUGAUGGUUGAAUGAGGACGAGUGUAAUGCGAUAUCUGCACAACAUACACUUCCUUUUCCAAGUCUAUACAAAAUUCAUGGCUUGGAAUAGCCUUAGACUUUAUGUUUUGUAUGAACGAGGUUGGGACAUCCGUACAGAAUGUCCUAUUUGAUGAUUUUGCUUGCCAAUAUUCAGUUACAGGACCAGCAUGAAUCCUAGUUGUAUGUAGUAUAUGUUAGAAAACAAGGGCUAAUGAUAUUUGUAAUUAGAAAUUUAAAGAUCUAAGACAAAAUUGAAAUGUUUACCUACGAAAGAGAAUUUUACCAAACCUAGCAACCAAUCUCAGUUUCGCAUUAUCUGAAAGAUGAUGAUCCUGCAUUCCCUUCUUAGCUUGCUCAUAUGCAACGACAAGAUCCUUCUCAACCUUCUCUGCUAUUAACAUCCACCGAGUUCUCUCUUCUUCUUCACUUUCCUCAGCUAUCACAUUUUCUGAGUACAAACAUAUUAAAAAAAUAAAAGAGAGUGUUUUCUUCUUUAGGCAAGAAGGAUCAUGGUAGUUACAAAAUACUUAGAAACUAGUGUUACCUUUUUCUACAUUAGUGUUCAUCAAUACGAAAGAUUUUUCUCCAUAUCUGCUAUCAGAAGAAUCCGAAGACACCGGCACAAGCUUAAUAGAUGGAGGAACCUCAUCCGAUAUUCCCUUUGAACCAAUAAGAAACCAUUUGAAAAUGGCAUCUCUUGAAUAUGCUAUAUUGACUUUAACACUGCUACUUUUGAAGUCAGUGUUUUUCAUGACUUUUGUAGCUAGAGAAUCUGGAAAAGGGGAAGGGCUAACGGGAUCCUUCAAUUGGCGCUUGUGUGGAGGAAUAUAAGACAUGUUUGAACCUGAUACUCCCAAACAUAAAAGGAAAAAAAAAAAGAUUUAAACAACAAUUAAUGAGUCGUCACUCGUCGGCUCUAAUUCAAACUUAAACUUGGAGCUACGAGAGGCAAUGGUUAGUACGUAAGCUUAAAGAGAAACCACACCUUAGGAGAAUUAUAGAAAACGAGAGCAGACUUUUCAGUUGUUACCAGAUAUAUCCAAAGGAGCGGCGAGCUAAAUAAGUGAUCCAAAGACGUAUGUUUUUGUUAGAAGAUAAAAAUGUACCGUUGAACUUUUUUUAAACGUUAAACUUACAUUACAUAUCUAUAUAUAUACAACUAAGUUAAAGCACUGAUGUUCCAGCAGAAAAAUACAGUGAACUCCAAGAGACUCUUAUCUCAUUUUUUAUCUUUCACUUGACUCCUCGACUUCCUCAAAACAUUAGCAAAACUUAUGGUCAACUUUUAUGGACACUUACUUAUUAACUAAUUUUUCUUGUUACUGAAAUAGUGAAACAAAUAUCCUAGCACCCGGAUAUUCAAAUGAUUACGUUUUUUUUUGUAGUUGUGGUUAAAAGAAAAAAAACAAACUACAUCCACGAGGUUUGAUGUAUGAAGGUAUAUGGAGCGUCACGUAGCGUGAGACGACGCAUGGUAUCGUGUCAGAAUAUCCAAUUGUUUUCUAUUAUGAAAAACGAUAAUUACAUUGUUUUCUUUUUUUGUGCAACAUGAUAAUUACAUUGUAAUUUUCAAGAAAAAUAUUGUAAAAAUAGCAAAAUAUUUCCGAAAACGAUUUAUAUACAAAAACCCUCUAUAAAAUUACUAAAAAGUGUUUAAAAAGUAUUUGAACAGUUACCUCUCGCUGAUUAUGAUGUUGAGACAAACUCAGGAGAUAAUUCAGAUGAUGAAACCGAUUGAGUCACAGUGGCUAAUGCAGUUGCUGGCCGAAGCUCAAAUGCUGAGAUCUCCAAAGGCACCACUGCGGAUGUAUCUGUAUUAGAGUCCCAUGAAGACACACUGGAGAAUGGAAUGCCCAUUCCUGCAUCGGUGGGAGAUGAUUCACCGACUUGUAGCAAAAUCGAUGAACAGAUCUUAGAUAUACCUGCUGAAUUUCAUUCCAGUUAUAUGCAUGAUGAAGGCUUUCAUGAACUUCCAGGGCUGGACAAUACAGCCGCAGACAUUGUCUCGAAGGAAGACCUUGCUGUGUGACAUUUCCAGUGAUGAUGUCAACCAUGUGGUUAGGCCGUCAUCUACUAGUUUGAUAGGUUGUCUGCGUUGGAUAUCGACCAAUACUUCUAAAUCGUCUUCCGGAGCUGGGGAGAUUUGCCAUGAUACAGCUGUAGAGUCUAACGGGAACUAGCAGAAAAUGAAAUCCAGAAGAGCCCUCUGGAAGUAUCUUCAGAAGGUCUGGGUACUUCCGUAGACAAUAAAGACCUGCCAGGUAGUGAAUUAAGUCCCAUGACAUCUCCAGGAUCAAAGUGACAGAGACGCAGAAACCAAAUCGCCUUGUAAAAGCAUUCUUGAUGAAAAUCGCAUAGAUUCUUCACCACUGAACAAUCCGAACUUCUUAGAGAGUUUAACUAUCGAACAGUCAGUUAAAGUACAAACACCUCGUCAAAGCAGUGCAUUAGAAGAUGAAGAAUUGAUGCAGUCAAGUUUUUCCAGGGGCUUAGAGUUCGUACCACAUGGUUAGCAGGCAUACACUCGAGUAGUCCAAAGCAAAAGUUGAAUGUGGAUCCUAUUACUUUUCCCUAGCUUUUGUUUGAUCCCUGAGACUAUUCCACCCAAUCAGGAAGACAUGCCACCACUGCGGCCCCUUCCUCCUAUGCAAUGGCGUAUUGGGAAGGCUCCAUAUUCUUUUACUCCCACCUUCAUGGGAGAAUCAGGCGAAGCCAGUAGUUCUGCUCCAUCAGCCACAUCACCCAUUGGUUCUAGCUUGAAUAUUCAAAAUGGGAGCUGUCUGUAUCUCUAGGAACUGACAAAUCAAAACAACUUCCUGGAGAGUUUGUGACCAAUGCAUCAGAAGAGCCGUUGCAAUCAGAGAACUCAGUCAGCAGAUCUUUCUGAAGAGAAUAAUCUUUUGGCUGACCAUGCUGCCUCAAAACCACGAGCUAAAAACGAAGAUUACGAGGACGACACAGAUGCGCAUGUUUCAGAAAGCUCAAGUUGUCCUGAAAACAAAGCAUAGUAGUUACACAACUAACCUAAAACUAUCUAAAUGGAAUCAUUUCAAAUACAUAAGUAAGUAUUCAUUGUCUCAUGCAAUGUUCAAAAAAUUGAUAGAUGGGAACUAUGCAGUUUAUAGAAAGCUAGCAACUAAGCUGAUUAUUUGGAACCAUAAUUUGAUUUAUUUUGUAUAUAUUUUACAUUCAUAUAAAAUAUUUUAGUUUCACAGUUUAGUUAUAAAACUAUUGUGUUGAAUUAUCAAAAUUAGAUAUAAAAACAUUAAAAAUUAGAUAAGUUUGUGAAUUUGUACUAAUAUGAUUAUUUAAUUUAAUUUUAGAAUAAUUUAAAUUAAUUUUAAAAAUUUAACUGAUUUGGAACAAUUUAGACCGAUUUUACUCGAACCAUUUUGGAUAGGCACCUCCUAGACCAUGGUCUCAUGUAUUGGAUAAAUAGAAUCGAACUGAACUAAACCAUCCACCAAACUGAACCAAUCUUGUUAUGUUAGAAAGUUUGUAUAAAACCGUAAACCAAAUGAAAACCAAACCGUAAACCGGAUGUGGUUGAGAUUGCUUAAACCCAUCAUGCUGACGAUCAUUCGGCGCAAGAAAAAUCACACAACCCUAAUCAAACCAAAAUAAGAGACUGUGAAUCGAAAUCUCCCUUCUUCCUCCUUUUUUUUUUAUAUAUAUAUUAAUUUACAAUAAAUGGUAAAACCAAUUCCUAUCACAACAGUUCUAAGAGGCGCGUCCGCCGCAGCAUCCAAAUUCGUCAAAUCAUCGAAACCGAUCCGACCCGUAUCCUCCAACAACACCAUGGCCAGUCCCGACAAAGAUUCCUCCGCCGCCACCACCUCCAGCGGCAGUAGCCGCCGCAGCGUCCCGCUUUCCGCCGUGGUAUCGGAUUGUGCGAAACGGUGGUUUGAAGACACUCUUGAAGAAGCAAAAGCUGGGAACAUCACUAUGCAAGUUGUAUUGGGUCAGAUGUAUAACUCUGGCUACGGAGUUCCCAAAGAUGCUCGAAAGGUUUCUCCUUUUUCCAUAUCUCAUCACUUUAGCUUUUUAGGGUUUAGUCAUUGAAGUGGAUUCAGUUUCUGAAAAGUUAGUGUCUUUACGCAGGGGAGGGUUUGGAUUACGAAAGCAUCAAAAGUUCGUUCGUCUGUGUGGAAAGUUAUGAAUAAACGACCAGGUUUGGUUUAUAUCACAACUUACCUUGCUGUUCUGUCGGAAAAUAAGGUUCAUUAUUUCUUUUUGUAUUUCACACUUUGAUUUGGUGUUUUUUUUUUUGUGCUUGAUUUGUCUUUUGUCAGGUUACAACGCAAGUGAUUCAGAUUCGCAUUCUGAGUAGUAUCAUAUAUCAUUUAGAAAGAGCUUGUUUGUGUUCUGUUUUGUCUCACAUAUUGGAUGUUCCGAGUUCAUACAAUAAACACUAUUUGUCUCCGCCCAAAUCAAUUUUGGUGUUUGCUAAACCAUUUUGUUACAUAUCUUGCUUUAUUAUUUCUCUCUUUUUCUUUGUGAAAAGCCUUUUGCUGAUUUUGUAGCAGUGAAAAAAGGGGUUUAGGGUAUUAGUUUUACCACUUUUCUCAUGUAAAUAGUAACGGAGUGGAGAUUAGUAAUUGAGAUUCUGUCGGAACAAAAGUGUCAUAAAGGCUCCAAGAAUAUAGCGAGAAAUAUAUAUGAAUAAUGUAAGAAUUUAAAAUUAUUAAAUUAGUACUCCAUAUAAAGAGUCUUCCGAAUUAAAAUUUUAGCGAUAAUAGUUUCACGGACUUGAGCUUAAUAGGAAAGAUUUAAUUGGAAGUCGUCUAUAUAGUAGUUGAUUCUAAGCUAAUUAAUAGUAUCGACUCAUGUCAUAUUAAAAGCAUGUCAACAAAACACAUCAGACCGACAUUUAUGGUUGGUAGUAUAGUAACUCUCUGUAAUCGCAUUAGCAUAAGCUAAAGUCCAUUAUUGAGUAUGCUAUAUGAUGCAAAUCUGAUGGACAAAAAAGUUUUUGUUUAUCAAAUGAAACCAACUCUGAGUAAACAAAUAAAGACUUUAAUUAAGAGGUUUUGCUAAUUAAUCACACUCUUAAUCUCUACUCAUGUGCUUGGAAAAGAAAGAGAUGACUUUUACUACUAUUACUACUACCUACUAAAGCAAUCCCAGUUUCACCAAAAUAAAAAAUUUAAAUGUUUAUGAAUUUAUUUAAACAUUAGAAACAGAACGUCACAACGCAAAGCCGACAACCUUUUCAGAGAUUAAAGCCGGCGAGCCGGCGAAUUCACAGAACAAACAUCUUGAAACCAACAAAUAAGACAAAAAAGCUAACACCAUAGUCCAUAGCAAACAAGAAAGAAAAGAUUCACCCAAAUGUUUUGGUAUCAUAUAUUUAUCCAAAUUAAUUGAACACGAAUAAAUCACACGUGGCAGUCAGAAAUGCAUCCUAAAGAAUAAAGAAGAUGAUGAGAGCCGCCUCGUUCAAAGUCAAGGCCACCAGGUCUGACCAGUCUCCCCCACCCUUCUUCUCCACCUUCUGAUAUUUUCAACGGUCAAACUUUUAUCACCUUCUCAGAAACUACAUUUUAUUUCAUUUCUUCCAUUAAAAAACAAAACUAAAAAUAAACUAACCAAUCAGACCAUGCAAUAUGUUUUUAUAUAUACAGACAUAAAACGAACAUAUACAUAAACAUUUCAAGAGCCCAUCACAUCUUCUUCGCCCCCCUUGUCCAAGCUCUCGUAAGAAACACUUUCUAUAUAUAUCUGAAGUUGGUCUUUCUUAAAAUAAAGAAAGCUUCAAUUUUUUUUAUGUAUGGCUGCUUCUUCCCUUCUUCAUAUAGACAAUAACACAACCAGACAAAACAUGAGUGGUUCUGCUAACUGGUCACGAAGAUCAUCAGCAUCUUUGGAAGAUCUUGAGAUCCCAAACUUUAGAUCUUUUGCUCCUUCUUCAGUCUCAAUCUCUCCUUCAACUUGUUUCAGUCCCUCUGUUUUCCUCGAUUCCCCUGCGUUUGUUGCCUCCUCUGCUAACGUAAGCCUCUCUCUCUUUUACUCGAUUUUUAUUUAGAGAUAAAAUUUGAAACUAUUGACUGACUAUAUGAGGUUGGCUCUUUUCUUGAAAAGAUCAUUACUCUAACAUCUCUUGUAUUCAAGAAAAUGAAUUUUGAUCGGAUGUGAUAAAGUCAAUGAGUCAACGGUUCCUUUUUAGAAAGAGAGUCUGUGUUUCAGAACCAUUCUUGAUAAUAUUCUUGGUUGUUUUUUUUGCAGGUUCUUGCUUCUCCAACCACAGGAGCUCUUAUUACAAACGAAAGCAAUCAGAAAAAUGUAACUAAGGAAGAGAAGAACAACAACAUUAACUACUUCGAUUUCUCAUUUCAGACACAAUCAUCAACACUUUCUGCACCAACAACAACAACAACAGCGACAAACAGUUCUAUCUUUCAAUCACAGGUAUGUUCCUUCCUCAACAGUUCUUCAAAUCACCUUUUUCCUUUCAAAUUUAUUUAUAUGUUUUUGUGUGUUCAGGAACAAGAAAGGAAGAACCAGUCAGAUCAAAAAUGGAGCCAAACUCUAAACAACAGCAACACUCAUCAAGCUGUAUCUUACAAUGUAAGGGAGCAAAGGAAAGGAGAGGACGGUUACAACUGGAGAAAGUACGGUCAGAAACAGGUGAAAGGGAGCGAGAAUCCUCGGAGUUAUUACAAGUGUACUUUCCCAAGCUGUCCGACAAAGAAGAAAGUCGAGAGAUCUUUGGAAGGACAGAUCACGGAGAUUGUCUAUAAGGGAAGCCAUAACCAUCCUAAACCUCAAUCCACCAGAAGAUCAUCUUCUUCUUCUUCAACAUUUCACUCGGCUGUUUUCAAUGCCAGCCUUGAUAAUAGUUUCAGUCACUCUGAUUCCCUUGCAAUCCAACAAGAUGAUAACACUACUUCUGGUUCUGUCGGAGACGAUGAGUUUGAACGAGGCUCAUCGGUUGUCAGCAGAGAAGAAGAAUGUGGGAGUGAACCUGAAGCAAAGAGAUGGUAAGAGAUCAUCAGCACCCACUAAACUCGCCUAAUCUUUGAACAAUCUUGAAUCAGAAAGUUUCUAACAUGUUUUUGUGUUAUCAGGAAAGGAGAAAGUGAAACAAACGGUGGGAAUGGUAAUGGAAGCAAGACAGUGAGAGAGCCAAGAAUUGUUGUGCAGACAACAAGUGAUAUCGACAUUCUUGACGACGGUUACAGAUGGAGAAAAUACGGCCAAAAAGUCGUUAAAGGAAACCCAAACCCAAGGUAAUAACAUAAAUAAAACAUAACAUAUGUGCUUGUCAACAUCAUAAACUAAGGCUCCAAGAAACUAACAUCUUUAUGUUUCUUAUCACAGAAGCUACUACAAGUGCACAACCAUCGGUUGUCCAGUGAGAAAACACGUUGAGAGAGCAUCACAAGAUCUGAGAGCAGUAAUCACAACCUACGAAGGGAAACAUAACCACGACGUACCUGCAGCUCGUGGAAGCGGUUACACCACAAACAGACCGGUGCAAGACCCAUCGUCAGCGCCAAUUAGACCAGCUGCUAUAGCUGGUCACUCAAACUACACUACUUCUUCACGAGCACCAUAUACGCUCCAGAUGCUUCAAAACAACAACAACAACACUAAUGCAGGGCCUUAUGGUUACGCUAUGAACAACAACAUUCAAACGCAACGAAACGACUUCGCUGGUGGAUUCUCUAGAGCAAAAGAAGAACCAAACGAUGAGUCAUCCUCGUUUUUUGAUUCGUUCUUGUCGUGAAGAUAAAGGGUUUCACUACUUACUAGUGAUCCUGAAGAUACUAAGACUAUAUAGUCUAUAGUCCAUAGAGAAAAUUAUUUCAUUUGUUUUUUCUUUUUCUUUACAUGGCUCAUGCUAGAGCGCUUUCACACGCCUGUAAUAUUAUACUAUCUUUAGUCUUCUUGUGUACCAUAGAACUAGAAAAAACGAAAUAAAACCAAUCAAUUUUUCACAUGUUUUCAUGAACUUUAUAAUCUGAUGAACGAGUUGAUUCCAUGAUCACAAGUUCAUUCCAUACCAGACUCCAUUGAAAUGAGUAGGAUUGUAUGUAUGAUAGCAUCUAAUAUAACCAAUACCAAGAAUAUUUUUUUUUUAGCUUCCAAAGUAUUAAAGAAGAACAUACACACAGUCACAGAGACGGUCUAUGCACACACAUAAAGAAUGACAUUUACACGUAUCACAGAGACCAACACCAUAUAAACAAAGGACUGAAGCAGAUGGUGAGGCUUAAGCAGCAGAUUCAGACAAAAGAAUGAGUAGUAGAGAGUUUGUAACCAGAGAAGAGAGCAGAGAGAGCUAAAGAGACGAAAGCCAAGACAGCCAUGGUGAUAGCCGAAGCAGCAGAGUCAGUGAAAAUGUUAUCUUGACCUUCUCUGAACCUAUUAGUCAACGGAAUCGCAGAGGACGCGGCUGAUAUGAGAAGAUACGCUACAAUCUACAACCCCACAAAGAAAUUCAGAUUUACAUCAAAAGAUCAAAACUUUAAACUUUAAACAUGAUAAUAAGCUUCUCUACGUUACCUGGUCGCCGGAGAAAUCGACAAAUAUUGAUGUCCGGCGAUCAAAGAAGUCUCUUUUCGAGAGAUGUACAAACGUUUGCCACGCAGUGUAUAACGUUGCGAGAAUCGCGAUGGCCACCACGUAUCUGAAACAAUCUCUAAUUUUUUUAAUACACGAAUUUUCGAAAAUUCAAAAGUAAUCAAUCGUAGAGUGGCACCUGUACUCUUCGUACUCGUCGAAGUUUCGACCGGGUCCGUGUUUGUUGGAGACCAUGAUUACGAAGGCGAGGAUGGAGAAGAGAAGAGCUAGUCCUCUCGUGAUCGGUGAUGCUUUCUUUAUUGAGUCCUCUCUUUUCCAUCUCUGAGUAAUCGCGGAAAACGUCGUCGGCGCAGCAGCCUCGACGUCGGAAGGUUCGACCGGUUUCUGGUUAUCGGGAUUCGUCGACAUGCCGGUUUGAUCUCGAAGCUGUGAUUGAUUGGAAUCGGUUAUGUGUGAAGAAUCGGGGAGGAUAAGGAACUCUUAAUUCGGGUUUUGGAACGUAGUUAAGUGAGGAAAACGCGUGAUGGCGGGAGUGAUUAAGGUAAAUGACUGUGAUUAAGUUGUUAACCAAUGCUUGGAAGCUACACGUGGCGUGCAUUUUGUUGAUUAACAGACAGCGAAGCCUGUGGCUCUUAUUGGCUGGACUGAUAUAAUUAUUUAGAACUUGCUUGUAAAGAGAUUAUCAUCUUUUUCUGCUAAAUUUCCUUUUUGAUUAUGGCUUUGAAUCUUUGAUCAAACUUGAAUUUCAGAGAAGAAUCUCUCUUUUGGUUAUUCGCAGAAUCAACUACAUAUAGGUUUUGUUACACUUUGCUAUUGACACAAAAACUAUUUUCUUACUAUCCAUUUUCUUACUAUACAUUUUAUUAAAUCAAAUUUGGUUGAUAGUAAAACUGUUUUACGGAAAUCUGACUUUGUCUGAUUUACAAGAAAAUAUAACACACAUUGUUCUCCAGCUUCCUUAAAUAGGAAAUAUGUACAUAUUUUCCAAUCCUAUAGGCUAUAGGUAUGAACUAUGUUAAACAUUCCAAAACAAUUAUGCAAAAUACUAAAAUAGACUAACUUUCAAAAGAGUGUUAAUCCGUCAAAUUUUAAAUCAAAUCCAGCAAAUCUCGAUUUGGAUUGAGGAAUAUGCAUCUUAUUUAAACACAACGCUCUCAAAAUAAUUUUUCCUACAACAAUUUUGAAGUCCAAACAAUAAAACUCAUUUUAUUCCUAUGAUUCCACCCUAGAUUACUAACUUUUGAUCAUCCAUAAGACAUCGAUUUUACAAUUUGGAAUUUAGGAUUCCAAAGAAGAACAAAAACGUCUACUUGGUUUGGAGAGUCAUUGGGUUCCUCAUCUUCUCUUUUAAAUUUCGAUUUUCUAAAAUUUUCUGCUUCAAGAAAAACUAACCAAAAAGUGUUAAGUGGACCAAAAUAUUUUCCAUUAAAUAUUUUUUUUUGUUUUUGCUUUUCAAAUAUACUAAAGUAUCCAAAAAAUGUGUCUAUUUAUGGUUUUAUAGGAAGAGAUUAGUUAGUUCCAAACUCAUAACAGAUGAUCUAGGUUUCCACUUAUCAUGUACAAUAAUAGUUCAACAGAAAACGAGUCAAGUUUAUAGUUUUAAGUGAUUAAAUGAUGAAUUAGCCUCUUGUUGUGGUUAGAUACUGAGAUCUUGACUAAGUCUACCACACAUGUAUGACAUGAUUGAUCAAGAUAAAGCUCAAAUAAGAAACUGAUCAACAUUACAAAAUAUGUUUUCUAACUUGUUUGUAGUCUUUCACUAUGUUGUGUUAGGACUUAGAUAUUAACAUUGACAAAUUUAAAAUCUUUAGAACUCACCAAACGGAAAAACUUUAUCAAAAAUUGCAUUGACCACCACCAUUAUGUAUUUCUUCAAGUGGGUUUUCAAUUGAAAAAAAAAAUAUUGAAUAUUUUCUCUGUAAAUGAUUUAGCACUCUUAUAAGAUAAUUUAAUGUUGCAAAGAAACUUUCAUAGCUUUAAAUAGUACUAUACAAAAAAACAUACCCAAAAGAUUUUUCAUAUUCCCAAAGACAAUCAACAAUGAUAAAUAUUACAAACUGCCGGCUUCUCCCUUGGCAAAAACAAGGGCUCAAGUUUCCAAAACACAUACACAAUCACACACAUACACCAAAAAGACUCCAUAUUCCAGACCAGAGUCUUUAUUCAAUUUCUCUCCAAUAUGAAUAAAGCAAAUAAUUUAGUCUUUUGUGUUUAAUUAUACUCCCAAAAGAACUAAAAAUUGAAUCCUGGUUUGUAGUCUCUUUUUUUCUUUAGUUUUUAUGUACAACGAGAUUACUAUCUCUGCUCCAAUGCAAACCGAACCGGUUCACCAUAAUGCUUCUCGAAUCCUCAAUGAAUUAAAAAAAUUAAAACUGAGUCUCUUUUUCAACUGUUAAACCUCACGAGUGGAAUAUGUCGAAAAAUCCGAAUAUAUUGGUUUUGUAUAAUAACCAUUUUUACGGUUUAUCAGGAACCCUAUUAACCGGUUGGUUAAUCAAACGACGUAGCUUUUGCCUAAGCUCAUCAGCCCAAACUAUUCCAACGUCUCUUUGCUUGUUCUUCAUCUCCACCAUCACUAACUCAUCCGUUAGCCUCCGAAUCUUAACUACGAUAUUAGCUACUCCUUGUGGCCCUUCCAGCUUCACCGCUCUCUCCUUCUUCUUCGCAAUCCUAAGAUUCAUCUUCUUCGCAACCUCCACAACCUUAACCAUAAUCUCCGCUGGAUUCUCAUCGGAGACAAACUGAUCACAAUGAUCCGGCGUCACAAAGUUUCCGAACAAACCUGCGAGGUUCGCCGUAGAUGAAGACGCAAUCAACUCGAAGGCGUUUAGUUUCUUCCCGCUUUCUUCAAGGUCGUAAUCGUCUGCUUGGAUACCUAUCAUCUCACUCGGAUCUACACCGUGGUUGAACCACUGAUCCUUUAGAAUCUCCUCAACGGUGAUCCGUUUCUCCGGAUCUGGCUCCAAGAGGCGGCUGAGGAGGUGUCGGAGACCGGAAGAAGUCCACUCCGGCAUUCUGUAUUGCGCCAUGCGGAUUUUCCGGUACAAUCCGGAGAUGUUGGGAUCUCUAAAGGGCAAGUAACCGGCGUUUAGAAGGAACAAAACGACGCCGCAUGACCAUAUAUCCGCCUUGGAUCCGUCGUAGCCUUUCUUUGUGAGAAGCUCCGGCGCCACGUACGCCGGAGUCCCACAGAGAGUGUGCAGCAUCCCAUCGGCUUUGAUCUGCUCCUUCAUCGCACUCAGACCGAAGUCCGAAACCUUGAGGUCUCUCUUCUCAUCGAGGAGGAGAUUCUCCGGUUUCAAAUCGCGGUGGAAGACGCCUCUCGCGUGGCAGUACCUCACGGCGGAGAUCAGCUGGCGGAAAUACUUCCGGCUGAGACUCUCCGUGAAACGGUUGCUCGAGACUCUGGAGAAGAGCUCGCCGCCCUGAGCUAGCUCCAUGACGAAGUAGAUCUUCGUCUUGGUGGCGAGGACUUCGGAGAGGAGGACGAUGUGAGGGUGGCGGAGGCGGCGCAUGACGGAGAUCUCUCGCUUGACGUGCGCCGUGAGACCGUCUUUUAAACGCUUCUUUUGGACGACUUUGAUCGCAACGCUUUGGCCCUUGUUGUGGAGAUCCUCCGCUUCGUAGACUUUGGCAAACGCGCCGCUGCCGAGAUGCUUCUUGAUGUCGUACUUGCCGAACAACGCUGAUUUGUUGUCAUCUCCGUCGACGUUGACGAUGAUGGAGUCGGAAGAGUCUUCUUCGGCCAUUUAACAGAUAAAAACGCAAAAUAGAAACGGUAAUACAAAUUGGAAAGACAUGCGCGCGGUUGUACUUAUUGAAACUCAACUUGCCACGUAAUCUAAUUUAAAAACGUUUUAAUAUUCUUUUGACUUUUUAUGGAUAAACAAAUAAACAACAUCAUUUAGGACAAUUUCAAUGCUAUAAUAGUAUGAUAUUACUAAUUCGAACUAAGUUACGGAUAUAAUAACUAAGUCUCCUACCUUAUCGAAAACACAAAAACACUUAAGCCCUGUUCGUUUGGUUGCCGCAGGUUUCGGCGUCAGCGGCAGCGGCAGCGUCAGCGGCGGCAGCAGCGUCAAUGAGGACAGUUGUUGUUCGUUUCGCAGACGCUGACGCUGCCGCAUAUCAUAUCGCGACCGCAGGUUUUAUCGGCGUUAGCCGCAGGACGCAGCGUUCGGACGCUGCCGCUGCCGCCGGUUCCUGCGUCAACGAAACGAACAAGAGUUGACGCAGAAUGUUGACGCUGCCGCUGCCGCCGGUACCUGCGGCAACCAAACGAACAGCCCUUAAAUGCAUAGUCAUUUUUAGGAUAAAGUUACGAAAUUAGAUUAUAUCAAAAUAUAAAUAUUAAAUUAUUUAAAUUCAAGGAACAGCUUUUCAUGAUUCUUCCCAAUAUGUGGUCCAUGUUCUUUUUCUUUUUGUUAUUGUGAGGUCAACCAAAAUAUUAUUAUAAUUCCAGGUGGGAUUGAAACUUGAAAGUCUUGAUAUUUAUAAUAUAUAUGCAGGAGCUGGUGAACUCGACAUAUAUGGAAAAACAUCAUAACAAAAGAACUAUAGCAAUUUUAAAUAAAUAAAAUCCAUUUAAAAAUGUUUGAAUAAUAUGAAAACAACAACAUGGAUCGUCGUUGCUGUCGUUGAAUGUUAAGCAAUAUGUAGACAGCCUGUAUGUAGAUGGUCUAAGCUUCACUAAUGGUUUACAUGGUAAUUAAGGUGGUUUGGAACUUUGGAGUAUCUAGCAAAAAGUCAGAUCGAAAUGAAGUAUGAAAAGAGUGAUGCUUGUUCUUCUUAAAGAACACCUUAAUCCUGAUGAAGAUGAUUUUUAAUACCUUUUGAUGAAGCUGACUAAUUCAUUGUUUUCUAGUAAAUUUACCCAUGUUUAAUUCUCUUUUAUAGAACCAGGUUGAUAAGAGGAGAUAAUUCAUCUUGAUCAUCUUCAUCAGAAUUAUCUCCUUUGAGUUACAAUUUUUUUUAUCUCCUCUGAAUUAAAGUUGAUCAGAGGAUUAUUGAAACUAUUAUCGAGCCAAGAUGUACUCAAGAUCAUUCAUUUUGAUCUCGAAAAUCCCGUAAAAUUUUGUAUGCUUUGUUCUUACAAGCCAAGCUAACUUACUAGUUUAUGGCUCUUGAAAUAUGCAAAAUACUGUUCCUUAAAACAUUAAUUUAUAAUUGCGCGGAGAAGCCGUUACUCCAUGAUUGAGAGCGAUAGCUCCUUUUAAAGACAAAGCUCAUGUCUUAAGAGAUGAGAGUCAUCAGAAGGUCAAUUACUUAUGGGAAGGACCGAUCACUCAAGUAGCCAGAGCACCCUUUUGGUUUGUGUAAGGAAUUCCUUUCUGUAAUAUGCAAAACUUUAAGAAACCCUUUUACCAAAAAAAAAAAAAAAAAAAAAAAAAAUUAAAAAAACCCAAACUAAAUGCACUAGCAUUUGCAUAUAAAGACGUUCAGGUCAGAUACGAUGAUAUAAAUAUAAAAUACAUGGUUUUUUUUUUGCUAACAAUAUACAGUCUGUGUAUUUAAAAUGGAGUUGUAAAAAUUAUGUGAAGUUAGGAUACAUUAUUACAUUAAAUCACCCCUUAAUGACUGAAGCGGUGCAUCUCUAGUUGCCUUCAAGGCUUGCAUUUUCUUAUGAAUUAAAAGUAAAAACAUUAAAAUAUGAGUGACCAAAACAUUAACAACUAAAUUUGAAUACUGUUUGAACUUCUACGUCAGCAUAAAAUAAUUACUUUUUGAUAGCUCGAAAAUAAAUUAAAAGAAGUACUCCCUCUGUUUUUAAAAGAUGCAUAUUCUAAACUUUUCACAUAUAUUAAGAAAACUCAUUAAAUAUGCAUUGUUUUUUGUGAAUAACAAUUUUCAACAAUUCUAACCCAAUAGAAAUUCAAUAAACACCAUUAAUUUUUUUGAAACUUACAAUUUUUCAUAAAAUCAUACAUUGAUACAGUAUAAAAUCAAACUAAUUAAUACCCUUUUAGUGUUGAAAAAGCCAAAUUUAAUCCUCAGAUAGACGUGAACUUGUUAAAAUAUUAUUUUUAAAAAGAACUAAUAAAAGAUACAAAGGUAAAAACUCGACAAAGUAAACAAACAAAUACAGACAAACUCUUGUUUUUAGAACUCAAUGAGAAAAUCUCUUGCGCAUUUAGUCAUUUAUAGUUUAUAAAUAUAAUAAUAGAUUUCGUAACGGUAUUUGCUAUCUAUUUACAGUUCAAUUUAAUAUAAACAAAUUGUCAAAAUAUUUAGUAAAUUUAUCUAACGUGAAAGUUAUACCUACAACUAGUAAAUUCUUUUUAGGAAGUUCUUUUCAGAGAUUUAAAAUAAAUUGUUGAAAAUGUUGCUCCUACAUUGUUGUUAAGUUUAAUAGCAGCUGUUAUCAUGAUUCAUAAGCGUAGAAACACGUAUAUAUGUUAUGAAACAACUAUAUUUUUUUUUUUGUAAACUAAAACAACUAUAUUUUUCUUUUUAUAAAAAUGAAGUUAUACUCAGAUAGAUGUAAUAGAUACCAUGUUUCUUAGAUUAAAAUAAACACACCUAAUUAAUAUAUUCACUGACCAUCGUCAUGAUGAUCUCUGUUGAUUAUAUAGUUGAGUACUUUUGGUAGCUGCUAACAUCAUUUGACAAAAUUAUUUUUGGACAAACUUAUACACUAGUGACAUUUUUGUUUAAUUCUUUCCCCUAGCAGUGUCUAUAACAUAUGAUCUUCGAACAAUUUCGGCUGAAACAUGCAACCUUCAGCCAUUUUUUUGUAACGCAAGAUGGACAGGUCACUUUGGUUGUACCAUCCACCGUCAGAUCACCGUCAUCCCGGAGUAUGAUCCCAGUCACUCAAUCAUCAUAGCAAUAGACAUGGCUGCUGGGUCAACUUUUCUAGUUGUGCCUCUAUGCAUGAUGGAAACAUCAAUUCUUUUGAGAGAAGAUAUACAUCACCAUCAUUUUUAUGUUAUUAUUAUUAUUGAUCUUUUCAUCGUUAUCGUCAUCACGAAUAAAGACACAUAUGCUUCAAAGAGAUCUUCAGCGCCGUACUCGUGUACGGUCUGGACGCAAUUCGUCGUAUGUACCAUCACAAUCGCACCACAGUCACCCUUAAUCGAGGAAGUUUCUUCUUUGUUAAACAUAUCAUCUUGUCUUAAUUUUCUUAUUAUAUAUACAAAAUUGAGGAAACAAAAUAUGAGAUAGUACGUUUUUAAAACAACGAUAUUUUUGAUUAAAAAAAACAACAACGAUAUUUGGAGUAUUUAUGAUAAAACAAAUCAUUAAAAACUAAAAAUCUUCCAAUGAGUUCAAUAAUCUUCAAGGAUUUGUAUUGUGGUUUUCUAAAAAUUUUAAUUACAAAAUUACAUUUAAUCAUAUUUUUAUAUGACAAUAAUAUUAUCCCAAGCCCAUCAGAAGAGAGGAACAAGGUAUUAAUUCAAGAACAAACACAACGAGAUAUGUUUUCCAUUGAUUGCACAUUGCUGAAAACAAAUAUUUGGCGUUUCUGACGUUGAUCAAUAUGACUCAAAUUGUUCAAACUAAAAAUGUCAAACAACUCUACAUUGACAUUAAAAAAACUUUUGUACUGUUUUUUCUUUUUGUUUUCUCGUCACCGUGUGUUGUGUUUACAUAUACAACCGUAGCUUGGCCUAAUACAUAAACACAAUUACCAGUACAUCAUCAAACAUUGAAAUGUACGCAUGUCUCCCACAAAGAAAAUAAUAUACAUGGAGAUUCUAAGCUGCCAUAUGAGAUCCAUUAAUCCAUAAAGAUUGGAAGAGAAAGAGUAGGAGUAAUGCAGUGAAAAUCUGAUGGGUUAAAGAGAAUGUUUUGGGAGUCGUCGCAAUAGAAGCUUGUGAUAAGAAAAGAGACAUGCACUUUAGCUCUACGGAGAAGGAAGUGUGAGAGCCAUAUGCAUCUGGGUGAUAUAUGAUUUCUCCUUUCCGACAUUUGAAUUCUCCUAAGCUCCACUCCUAGUUUCAUAUAUUUAUAUCACAAACAUUAUAUCAUAUUUUUUUUAUUUAGGCCAUUGACAUAUUUAUAUAGUGUUCAUACAUACCUCAAGCUGGCGACCAAAAGUGACAAGUAUAGUGUCAGGAUCUGCGUGGAAAGAAAGUGGGCCUUUCCUUGAGUUGACACGGAACUCGCAGUUCUUGGCUGGAAGGUGAAGGCUGAGUGUGUACUGAAGCAUUUCUUCGGUUGUCUCUUUGGGCAAAGGAGGGCUUUGCUCUGUUACGUUUUCAUGAUUGUACCUGUAAAUUCUGAGCACUGAUUCUCCUCUUUGUAUCCUCUUAUCAGUCUGUCUCCUUGAGUUUUCCACCAUUAUUUGCCCUAGUUUCCUUGCUACCCCAUCAAGUUUAUCAGCUACAUUCUCCAUUUCUUUGCUGCCAUAAGUCCAACAAAGAUCCUAAGAUUAAUUUUGUCUAUAUUCUCAAUCAUUUCCUCACUCAUAAAUCAUACUACAUUUUCAGGUAUCAUGUAAAGGCCAUCAACCCAUCCUCAGUCAUCAAUCACUAAACUACCGUGAAAUGGUUUCUAAGUUUGGUACUUACACGAACAACGGAACAAUGUGUCAUCAAAUGGCUACGGAUAAAACUAAUGUAGUAAUUAAGAACUACGCAAACUAUAUGAAUCACAUAGUGACAUCUUUACAUUAAUAUGUGCUAUGUAACAAUUUCAGUAAUUAGACAACCAUGAGUUGGUUUCUGGGUUUAGGUAAAAUGAUUUUGCUUAGCUUUUCGUAAUUAUCCUUUUUUAAACACUCGUAAUUAUCCUUAAGAAAUACCAAUGACCUCUAAUGCUUCAUCUAUCAGAGAUCAUUUCACAAUAACAUCUAUACACUCAACACUCGUAUUUCUUGAGGCCCAUUAACGGCCCAAUACCUGAAGCAGCGGUACCUUUCCGGUCCGAUAUACUCGCGCGCCCAUUCCAUCCUCUCUUUCCACGACCGAACCCAAGCAAUCUCAUCCCUGUUUCCGACAACACUCCGACGAAACCCUGUCUCUCUCCCCUCCAAAACUCCGAAAACCCGACCCGAUUCCCUCACAAGCGAUCGCAUCUCCUCGCUCGAUACCCCAUGGCAGCUCAGACGAAACGCCCCGAACUCCCUCGCCGAUUGAACCAACCGAUCCACCGAGCCUUCUCUCCUCGACGUUAACAUCCUGAAAUCAAUCUCCGCCGGGAUCAGAUGUCGUGAACAAGAAGAUUCUCCGCCGGAAUGAGAUUCAGGGAGCGUGAGGUCUGGGACCUGGAUCGAUCUCUCUAUGAUCUCGGUGAGAAUGUCGUUCGCGGCGGAACGUGAUCCUCUGGCUCUAGGGAUCGGUGAGGGAGGAGGUGGCGGUGGAGACAAUGAAGAUGUUUUCAUUUGGCUCCUGGUUCGCAUCAGAGCCAUUGGAGAGAAGAGAGAAGGAUCCGAGGUUUUUUGGCGGUUUCGAUUGUUAGAGAGAGACACAUUCGUCGUGUGUUUCUUUACAUUUUAAUUGGUUUGUUUUCAAUUUCUAGAGAAAGUGAUGGUCCAUGACUGUAUAUUUUUUAUUAUUAUGAUAUGUUUUAUGAAUGAUGAUCAUGAUCAUAUUCAUAUGGUUCGCUGACUUUGUUUCCGCGGUGAAGAUUCGAAUAUGUAAAGAUCUUGACUUUGAGGCCCUCAAAUUGAGGAUGAGAAAAUGUUGCCAGCUUGACUUGGGCCAAGAUGUGGGCCACUUUCUGUGUUUGGCCCAAAAUACUUUUGCAACUUCGAAAACAGAUGAUGAUUUCAAAGUUUGCGGAAUAAAGUUAUGUUUUUGUAUUAACGGGUUCGGGAUUCCAUCUACAAUUAGAAUUGUCCCAAGGAAGCCCUUGUUGCGCUUGAGUAUGCACAGUUGUCAGUUGACACAGCUCUUCCAAACCAAACUCAAGUCUCUCUUCGCGAGCUCUAACCGAUAGUGUCAGAAGAUACCUCACAAAAUAAAUGCACAUUUGUGGAAACGCUAUCACGAGUUUGCCCUUUUAUCAUCAACUUUAGCUUAGCUUGGUUGUAUUCAAUAAUACUUUGUAAUUAUUUAGUGUUUAAGCCUCAAUAUAUAAAAAUCUAUUUUUGUCUAACUUGAGUCUGAUUACAUUGUUAUAUUAUGAGGAUAUUAUUGCACACAUAAUUCUUCUUCUACUUUAAUCAUAUGUCAACCCUGUGUUCUUCGAAUGGAUUUCUGAAAAGCUAUACAACUCAAUUCCAACAUACUUAUACUAAUGUUAGAUCAUACGAAUAAGCCAGCGAAAACGAAAAAAAAAAUCUCAAGGCUCUUCCAUUUACGUGGUAGAAUAGAGCUUUUCCAAUGGAUGAUUCUUUUUAAUGAGAUGGACAUCCUCAUCAUUUCAUCUUAAUCUCAUUUUAAUAUUGUUAGAUAAGGUUGUUCUUAUAAGUAAAUAAUUGUUAAAUGAAAAUUAAAGUCAAACAAAUUUAUAGAUAACUUGUCACGACAAUUAAAACAUAUAUAUAAUUUGAUUUAAAAAAACACACAUAUAUAUAUAUAUAUAUAGUAUUUUCGGAAUAAUAAAAUGUUCACGUUUUAUUUGGCAGUUCAGUAUUAUAGAUUUUAAUAUCUGAAAUAAAUAUAUUGAUUAAUGUUUUGGGAUUAAAAAGUAUACAUGUUUCCGGCGAAACAAUAUAAGUUAUGUAUUUUAUUUUUAUUUUUUUGGACAAUUUUUUUUUUUUUGGACAAAACAAUAUAAGUUAUGUAUUUUUUGAUAAAUUUCUCAACUAAAAUGUCAAACUAAAUACACGAGGUGUCCUACAGAUAUAGGGACCUGUAGCUAGUUUAAAUAAAACGACCAACUACUCCAUUCCUCUUAAUCGCAUUCAGAUACAUAACAUAUACUCUCAUUUUCCUAUAUAAACACUCAAUCCGAUCCCCAACUCUCUUCAUAAAUUAUUAUUACACACACAUCUCAUUUUUGCAAACCAUCAAAAAAUUCUAAACAAAUUAAAGAAAGAUAAAUGGCUGGUCUGAUGAAGUUGGCAUGCUUCCUCGUAGCAUGCAUGAUUGUGGCGGGUCCAAUCACAGCGAACGCGGCUCUGACCUGUGCCAGCGUGGUCAGCAACAUGGCACGGUGCAUAAGCUACUUGGGAGGAAGUGAGACCAUAAGCGGUGCGUGCUGCAGCGGCAUUAGGAGUAUAAACGGUCUGUCCCGUACACCCUCGGACCGUCAGAUAGCUUGCGGUUGCCUUAAAAGAGUCGCUACCCUCCCUAAUAUAAACGCUGACCGUGCGGCUGGAUUACCCAAUGCAUGUGGAGUCAGUCUUCCUUACAAUAUCAGCAAAAGCGCCAACUGUACCCUGUAUGUCGACUUUAAUCUCUCUCGUUAUCUCUCGUUAUCUCUCUGAUAUAUAUAUGAAAAUUAAAGUGUACUUUUAAAACAAGAAGUAUAUAUAAAGAUUAUUAUAAUUAGCAUAUAGUAUAAGUUUUACUAAGGUUUCAUGUUAUACUAAGGUUUAGACCAAAAAGAAAAUGUCAUACUAAGCUUUUUAUAUUCAUGAUUUUUGAAAUCUUCCGUUUAGUUAGUUAAUUAAGCGGUAUGAGUCUGGUUUUAGAACUUGGGACAAAACCUAGCUAAACCUCAGUCUUGGGUUUGAUUAUUGUCGUAAACUAAGUUGUCACUUGUUUAGCUAGACGAUAUCAAACCAUAUUUUUAGGUCUCAGUUAAAAUUUCGAAGUUGAACUAAUCGUCAGUAUCAGUUAUGUGGAAGUGGAACCUAUAUGGAUUCCCAGACAUCCACAGUUAUAUUUUGAGUUUUUGAAUUGAUGCGGGAAGUAUAAAUAUAUAUAUAUUUAUCAAAAGUUUUUUUUCUGGAAAUCUGAUGUUUUUACAUUAACUGUGGUUGUGUUUAUUUGUAUGUGGCUGUAGCGUGGGCUGAGCGGUGGUCGGAUGAAGCUCAAGCGGACGUUUCGAACACUGUAUAAUGGAUGAAAGACUACUAAAUAAGAUGUUCAAAUGGUUGUUUUCUCUUUAAUCUUAAAUUUCCUGCAAUUUAUGUUGUGCCAUUCCCUACUUUGUAAAAAAAUACAAUAAAUUUUAAUUUAAAUGAUAAUAAUACAUAUGUUUUAUAAGUUUUUGCAAUUGUGAGUCAAAGAAAUGUUGUCGCUUUCUAAAAGAAUGCAUAUUGUCAUCUUUAUUAUUCCAAACAGAAAAAGGAUGAUGUUACUUUUUGUUAGUUGAGAAAAGGAAAACCCGAAACAAACUGUAUUAACGACUCCGGCCCCUGUUGAAAAAGACGACUCCGGCCCAAUAGGACCCCAGUAAGCCCAUUUUUGCCGUAGGGAGUAAUUUAUACCAGAAGCGUGAAUCUAGUAACAUCCAUGGACUCAGCUACAAGAUCCAAACCGUUGAUUCCCUCCAACGUUUUAACUGAAGCCGUUGAUCGCUUCCGUAUGAGCUAUAUAAAGAAACACAAAACACCACUGCACACCCAGUUAUCUCUCUCUAUCUUCUCCGCGCGACCAGAACGAAGUUCCGCCGAACAAAUCUCGCAACCCUAUUUUUGUCCUUAUCCCAUUCUUCUUUCAAUCGCCACUCUCCGCAAAGAAAGUUGGGCGCUUUGCUCUCUGGAGCUAAGUGACGAUGGAAAGUGAAUUGAUUGCAUUGUUCGAGACGGCGAAGAAGGCGGCAGAUGCGGCGGCUGUCGACGGUGUUACCUCCUCAAGCCCGGAGGUUUCUCAAUCUCUCGAUGCAUUAGAGAAACUCAAGGCGUUUCCCGUCACGUACAACACGCUCGUCGCAACCCAGGUGCGUCUGUCUCUUUAACCCUAAUUAGGUUUGAUUGAUUUUGAAUGAAUUUAGCAAAACGGGUUUUAGGGUUCGUGUAGCAUUGAAAAGAUGAUAACUUUAAUUGUUGUUGAUUUCUAUAUCUCCUUGCAUUGGAUUAGAGAAAGUUAUAUCCUUUUUUGUUUGUUUGAUUCUAGGUAGGGAAGAAGCUGAGGUCUCUUGCGAAACAUCCUGUUGAGGAAAUCAAAAGCGUGGCUACUGAUCUGCUUGAGACAUGGAAGAGAGUUGUCAUUGAAGAGACGACAUCCAAAGCUAAGAAGACCGAAAGCACAAACGGUUGCAAAGAGGUUAAGUUGGAGAGGAAGGAUGUGAACCCCGCGCCUGUGAAAGUCCAGAAGCUUCAGAGGGGUGGUUCAGCUAAGAGUAUCAAGGUAGAGAGAAAGGAACCAGACAGCAAAGUGAAGGUAGAGAGAAAGGAACCAGACAGCAAAGUGAAGGUUGAGAGAAAAGAACCAGACAACAAAGUUAAGAUGGAUCAUCGUGGUCAGACUACUGUCAAGGAUGAAAAAGUCUCAAAAGAAACGCUGUCAAGUGUGAAGCCUUCAGACAAGGCACCUAAUGGUGCUCCAAAGCUAACUUCAAUGGUCAAAUGCAACGAUCCUGUGCGUGACAAGAUCCGUGAGCUGCUUGUGGACGCCAUGUCCAAGGUUCAUGGAGAAUCUGAUGAGUACGACAGAGCGAGAGUAGUUGGAUGUGAUCCAAUCCGCGUUGCUGUGUCUGUGGAGUCUCAUAUGUUUGAGAAACUGGGCCGGUCAACGGGAGCGCAGAAGGUCAAGUACAGAUCUAUAAUGUUCAACCUGAGGGACAGUAACAACCCGGACCUGAGAAGGAGAGUUCUCACAGGGGAGGUGUCACCAGAGAAACUCAUCACACUGUCGGGUGAAGAGAUGGCGAGCGACAAGAGGAAACAAGAGACCAACCAGAUCAAAGAGAAGUUCUUGUUCGAUUGUGAGCGUGGCCAGGCACCAAAAGCAAGUACUGACCAGUUCAAGUGUGGGCGUUGUGGUCAGCGCAAAUGCACGUAUUAUCAGAUGCAGACUAGGAGUGCUGAUGAGCCGAUGACGACUUAUGUUACAUGUGUUAACUGUGACAAUCACUGGAAGUUCUGUUGAGGUGAGAAUGUAUGUGCGUGUCAAGACAUAGAUGCUCUGAGAUUGAUUUAUCAAGAGCUUUCAUGUCUAUUUGCCGGCAUUAUGAGAAUGUUCUGGCUCUCAUGUUUGUUUAGAGAUUAGUAAGUAGGAGAGUUUACUAAUUUAGCUGUUUGUUAGCUCUUAUCUCUUUUGCUUCAUUUAUUCCAAAUUGUCAAACUCAUCAACUUUGCAAAUUUUAUCUCAGUUUUGAAAUUUAUUAUCGGUUAGUUAGACUUGUGUGUGUUUUCUAUCAUAUUGAACGGUUGAGCCUUCACAGCCUUUAAUGUAUGUGUUAUUGGAUCGAAAAGUUGCAUCAACUAUGAUCCAAUUCAACUCCAGAUGAAAGGACUGAUGAAAACAAGCUAAAGAUCUCAUUGCAUUAGACCAUUGUUGCCAUUAUUAUGAACUCAUAUUAUAUUUGAACAAGACGUUUUUUCUUUACAUUCUCUCUAUCAGACCAAACAAUGAAUUCAUACUUCUAGCUAAACAUGUCCCACUCCACAUCAUCAUCAUCAUCUAAAUCUCUCUUCCUUCGACUUGGUCUACUGCUUCUCCUUCGCCGUCUUCUAUCAGAUGAACUUUCAAGCUCCUCAACAUCAGAGUAUUCACUACCGAACUGAGCAUCCCAGAGUCCCUGUUGUCAAAAGUCUUUCUUCAAUCAUCCCAUUUAAGAGAACUUCUGUACAUGGAAAAACCCAAACCACUCCAGUACAAGACAAGUACCUUUGUCAACCUCUGUUUCCUAAAAGCUGCAGAUUCGUCAACAACAACUAUGUCUUCUAAGACCUCGAUUAUGUCCUCAACAUCUAAUCUGUAUGUACUAACCUGCAUCAUCACAUAUUAAUCACAGAGAUUGUGCUAUUCCUAGAUUAGAUGCUUGUGCUUUGUAUCUCAUAUCAAGAAAAGGGAAUGAGUUACCCACCAAGCUUGAUGGUAUGAUGGUAACUCCAAACGAAUCAAGCUCAAGCGAUUCAACUACUCCGGAGUUUAUGUUGAAUGAGUAACCUCGAACCUGAAAAACAAACCGUGUGUUUCCAACUAAUAAACAAGAUAAUGGCAAAGAAAGAAAGAUAGAUCACUGAAGAAGAUAUAGCAAGAUUAUAAACACCUUUCCAAUGUUUCGCCCUCCCGGUGUCACCACUCUGUAACCUACCUAAACAAAAGGUGAGAAUUCAAUGUAAAGACUUGCUUUAAAGGUGGAUGAUUCACAAGACAAGGGGGAGAUGAAUCUAUACCAGUAUUUCAAGGCCAACCAUUUUGAACUCAGUGUCCAGGACUGCAUCAUCUUUCACAAGAACAACAUCACCGACCUACAGAGAUGUUAAUAAUAUAACUGAGCUGUAACAUACACUUUCAGAAGAAGAAAAGCAGUCGAAACCAGAAGUAUGAAGUAGUACUCGAGUGAUGUCUGUGAGCAUGAAUCUCUCAGAUUCUCCAGAUAGCAAGGUGGGCUUAACAUCCACCACCAAAACCAACCACUGAAAAUUUGACAAACAGAAGAAGCUCUCAUUACAAGUAAAAAGAGACAGACUUUGAUUCAAAAAUGUGGACUUUGAUUAAACAAAGAACUUACAGAAGUAGUGUCAACCCAGAGCUGAGAGAUGAAUCCUAAACUCAGAGCAGACUGUAUACUAAUAACUUGCUUAGCUACAAGGUUCGAUCUCGUCAACGUCUGUUUGAAUCCUUUCGAGCCUAUGUUGAUCAGAUCGCUCUCACUCACUUGCUGAAUCAAAUCACUGUCUCGAGGAGAUUCUGCACUAUCGUUUUCCAGGAAACCCAAAUGAGAAGAAUGAACUUCUUCUUCUUCUUCUUCACUGGGUAGUGAUGAACUCACGCAAGUUACGAACUUUCCGCUUGGUUUCUCAUUAAACUUGAAUUUCCGGAGAAAGGCAGUCUCUUUGGCACUAAAACAACAUGCUUGUGACGAGGAAGGAAUCGUGAUUUCAUGGAUUGAGAGGUGAUUCCUCCUCCUCCUCCCUGAGCUAGUGAUGAUCGAGUGCUGAAUCCGUCUAAGACUGUAAGAAGUGGGUCUCACCAGUCGAGCAUCGAUGGCGGGAAGAGAGAGGAGAAAGGAAGCUGAGCAGUUGUACAUAGCCGGAGAAGAACGCUUACAACUCAAAGUGAUCUUUAGGGAAAGGAAGAUUGGUUCAAUUGCUGUUUACCCCUUGGGUUCUUUAACCAAAGACCGAACCAAACCGAUAUCACAAAAUAUCAAAAUGUUCAAAUUUUGGUAAAUUUUAAAAACCGAAAUCAAACAAAACUUGAACCAUUUCAUCGUUUGGUUGUCAAAAACCUUUUGCCCAAGUUUUAUUGUAGGCUAGAGGUUUUCUACAAAGAUCAUUAAUAUGUAGAUACAUAUUUUAUUUCACUAUAAAACAUUUGGCUUAUCUUGUAACCUUAUGUUUUUAAUUAAAUUUUAAUAGAAAACUAAACUGGAACUGAAUAUAUUUUAAAAAUAUUAAUUAUUUUAAUUUGAAAAUAAUAUAUAUUUAAGGAUUAUUAUUAUCAAUUUAAAAUAUCAAAAUAUUUAAUAGUUUACUUAAUAUUUUAAUCUAAACAACAUUUUUAUCUAAAAAUUUAAAUUACUUAAUAUAUUUAUUUAAACUAUCUAAAAUUAUCUAAAAAUCAGAAUUAAACAAAAAAUUGAUUGAAUUAACAAAAAUUAUUUACGCAACAAUUUUUAAUCUUGUUAUUUAAACUGAACCAAAAAUAAAAAUAACAAGUUCAUAAUGUAAGAAAUUAAUCUAUUCUAUUAAAACAGAAGUAUGACUCAUUGAUAAAAAUAGAGUCCAACAAUUAUUUCAACAAUAUAUACUUUUUUAUAUGAUAACUGCAAUGCUUUUUUAAUUUUUGAAAGUAACCACUACCUGAUAUUCUUUUUCCAAAGUAACCACCACUCCUUAAUAGUUUGAGCAUAACGUUUACAUAAAUAUUUUGUAACCUCCGUUGUGAUUCCAAAGUUCUCAGAUCCACUUCUCUAAUAUACAUAUUAUAGUCAACGGUACAUAAUAUCUGUGUGUAGAAGAAAUAAAUGUAAUAUUUGGUCAACAAAUAUAUAUUUAAUAAUUAAUGCUAAGUAAUCUUAUUCUUCACUGACCGAUCCAAACAAUAUGAUUGACAACGAGUUUCUUAUCAUCUAAUAUCUUUACCCAUGUAAAAAAAUAAGAAUAGAUUAAAACACAAGCAAAAUACAAAAUUACAAAUUAUAUAAAAUAAAUUUGAUUUGUUUCUGUUGAAAAAUAUUGGUUUGUUCCGAAAAUAAAAAUAUUAAAACUGUUUUUUUACUUUUUGACAGUUUUACACAAGCCUAAUAAUAAUGGUAUAUAUAAUUUAGAGAAAUUCCCUAGAAUAACAUUUUUCAAGUUUUUGUCAUAAAAAUAGCUCUACAUAAAGAAAAUGAUCAAAAUAAGUUUUAUUAAAAGGUAAAAAUACAUUUUUACCCUAGGGUUAACUAAUCUAGACUUAGGAUUUAGAGUUAAGGGGUGAGGUUUUGAGAAUAGGGUCUCAAAUUAAAAAAAAUAAAAGAAAAUAAACAAAUAUUAAAAAAUUUGAAAUAAAAAGGCUAUUUUGGUCAUUUUUAGAACUAUUUUUGUGACAAAAACUUAAAAAUGGCUAUUUGAGAGAAUUGCCAUAUAAUUUAUAUUAGUUGACAAAAAAUAUAAUCUUAUAUAUUAAAAUAUUUGAAGCGAAUUUUUAUAUAUUACUCUAUUCAGUUCCAGCCAGUUCCAGCCAUGUAUGAUUCAAAUCUGUUUACAUCGAUAUAAAAGCAUUUAAUAAAAAAAAACGUUAUCAACAAAGUAUAUAAAAGCAUCAAUACUAUUAAAAGGGAAGAAGUCUUAACAAAUCUACCUAUCAAAGUUGUUUGGACCCUUUUAUUUAACUCAUCAUUUUUUAGUCUUACCUUAAAUUUAAACUAACAAUAUGUUACCAUAUAUUUCUCUAACAAUAAUUUAUUCAAUUCCUUUAUUUAUUCAAAUACCACUCCUAAAUCUUAAUCAUUACUAUUACUAUAUUUACCAUUUUGACUUUUAAUCGUAAAAGCAUUGAAACUAAAGUUUUAUAUUAUCAUUUUUAUCAUAUAAUAUAUAAUUUAAAGCAACAGAAGUUACACGACAUAUAUGUGUAGAUUCUAACUUCAUCUUUCCUUUAUAAUAAGUAAUCAUAUCAUAUAUAAAUUUUCCCAUUAAAAUCUCAUAUUAUAUACUAAACUUUCAACCGUCUAUAGUUUGAUAGAUAUUUUUAUAUUUAAAAAUGAGUUUUCUAAAAAUAUUUCAUCAACCAUGUUUUUGUACAAUAACGUUAAAAAUCUAUAUCAACCUCUUGGAUCCGAUACGGACGUAAUGGGUCCACAUCUGUUCUGGUAUUUAGGAUCCUAAAAAGAUUUGAAAUAUCUAAAAAAUCUGAAAAAUAUCUGAAACACGAAAAGUACUUGAAACUCCAAACAAAUACCCAAAAAAUUCAAAUACCUAAAAAUUCAAAAUCUUAUUCAAAAUCUAACACUGAAUUAAAAAUAUCCAAAAUUUUAUCCAAAUACCUAAUUUUUUUUUAAUUUAAAAAUUUACCUGAAAUCAAAAACUAUAAUCGUAAACCAAAAACCUAAAAAAAAUAUCCAUAAUGUCGGAAACAUAUUCGAAAUAUCCAAAUAUACCUAAUAAACACAACAUAUUUAUGAUCGGGUCUAGGGUAGGACCCGGACUCAAACAAAGACAUGCGGGUCCAAAAAAACCCCAAUAGAUUAUCUUCUCUGGACCUGAACUAAACCUAUAUUUCCGGGUCGGUUCGGUUUAUUUUUUGAUCCAGAUAUAAUUUUCAUGCCUAAAAAAACUUACGUGAAAAUGUACAUAUAAAAAAUUAAAUAAACUAAUUCAUAGAUUAUAUAACUGUUAAAAAUUAUAUUUUUCGAUAAAAUAAAACUUCGUAUUAUAAUAUAAUUAAAAAAAUCCGCGCUUUCCAAGCGCGGGUCAAAAUCUAGUUCCAACUUAAAGUCUGUAAUCAUAUUUAACAUAUGUUUAUAGCAACAAUACAACUGAACACCAAUUUUUCCAAAAAUCAUUAUCAUAGUAAAUUAACAUAACGUACAUCUCAGCCUAAGAAAUUGUGAUUUAUUAAACAAGACAUUAAUUUAUUUAAAUUUUAAAUGUUUUACACAUACAUUAAGUUUAUCAAUUAACAAAGUACAUGAUAUUAAAAUAGGGUUUAACGGAUUUAGGUGGACUUUUAAUAGAAAUAAAUAUUCAUAUAAACUCAUUUAGUUUAACGGGUUUUAAAUAGUUUAUUCGAUUAAAAAAUAUUUAUUAAAUGUGAUUUUACUUAAAGUUAGUUAAGACCAUAUUGACAUAUUUACAUAUAUCUCUAUAUAUUUAAUAGAUUAUAUUAAAAUUUAUUUUUACACAUUUUUUAAAAAUGUGUUCGGUCUUCAGUGCGAUUUUGAUUUGAUAUUGGUUUUCAGAUAUAACAUUUUGAGAAUUGUUCGAGUAUAUAGGCUAUGUUCAAUAGAAUAUAAAAUUUGAUUUUCAAGUCGAUUCUGAGUCAGAUUUUUUGAAUACGAAUAUUCUUGACUAAUUAUGUUAGGUAACUAAUAAAAAAAUAUAAUAUGUUGCAAUUUUUUAAGAAUAAAGUUUAAAAAUAAUUUAUGAAAUGCAUAUGGCACGAGUGUAUAGUUAUGCAACUUGACAUAUAUAAUAUAGUUAUCAAAAAUAUAUUAAAUAAAAUUAAUAUUACACAAAUAUAAAUUUUAAAUUUCUCAAAAAAAAAUAAAACAAAGGGCGGGUCAAAAUCUAGUACUCUUUAUUAAUUUAGAAAUGGUUCGCUCCGAGUAAAAAAGAACAAAGAAGCUCUUUUUUUCUUCUCAUUUCCGUUUUGUCUUUUUCCUCAUCCGAAAAUCACAAAAAAAUAUUCUUGACUAAUUAUGUUAGGUAACUAAUAAAAAAAUAUAAUAUGUUGCAAUUUUUAAGAAUAAAGUUUAAAAAUAAUUUAUGAAAUGCAUAUGACACGAGUGUAUAGUUAUGCAACUUGAUAUAUAUAAUAUAGUUAUCAAAAAUAUAUUAAAUAAAAUUAAUAUUACACAAAUAUAAAUUUUAAAUUUCUCAAAAAAAAAUAAAACAAAGGGCGGGUCAAAAUCUAGUACUCUUUAUUAAUUUAGAAAUGGUUCGCUCCGAGUAAAAAAGAACAAAGAAGCUCUUUUUUUUUAUAGAUUCUUGAUAUGAUUUUUUUUGAUUCAAUCCUUUAUUUUUAACUGAUUACGUUUUUCUUUGGGAUCAGGUAUGGAUGAUGAGAAGAAGAAGAAGAGAAACAAGAAGAAGAAGAACAAGCAGAACAAUAGCAAACGUGCAGACGGUGACGCUAUACCUACCGAUGAUGGGAAUCAUAACGGAGACGCUGACAUUGCUCUAAUCAACCAAGUCCCUGAUUCCAUUGAGUUGGAACCAUCUUCUCAACAGAUCAUCAUCAAUGUAAGUUGGCAAUGUCAUCUAGAUCCAAGGAACAUAAGAUUGAUUCGAUUGAUUGAUUGAUUAAUCUCUUAGUGUAUUUGUUUGUGACACAUUACAUGAUUGAUUGGUUGCAAUGUUAUCAAUGUGUCUCUACUUGUAAAUCCAUUUCUGCGGUUUGUGUAGACAAACAAAAACUAUGGUCUGAUACUUUAAAAUCUUAUUAUUAUUCAAAGCAGGCAGAUGAACCUGGUGUUGUUGACUACACGUCUCCAAAUAGCGAGGUGAGAUUAUGUCCUCUUGUAUGAACAAAGUUUCGUUAUUUGAUAUAGUUUUUGUUAGCACUAGUAUUCUGCAUUGUUUUUUUUUUUGUUACGUGUCUAUCUUUUGGCUUGAAUCCCUGAAUUAGUUUUGUAAUGCUCUUGUAGGCGGUUCUGGAAGAAACAAUCAAACAGUUACGUGAUGAGAUUGGGUCCCACCUUCAGAAAGAGGUGAUUUAUUUUUCUCUUGUUAAGCCCUUUUUUGUUGGUUUUAUCAAAGAAUCCUAUCCAUUAUCUAGUUAUGUUACUUUCCUCAGUGAAAUAGUGAUGAUAUAUGAAUUGCCAUGUCUUCAUAGGCUGUUUUUGAAGAAACUGUUAGACGCUUGGAAACUGAGAAUGAAUCUCACAUACAGAAAGAGGUUAGUUAAGAUUACAGUAAACCCUUUGUCAUUACUUCUAUGUUUUCCUACUUCAUCUGCAAGCGAAAGCAGAAGCUAACAUGGUGUUUCACAGGCACUGUUGGAAGAAAGGCUUGAGCAUUUAAGAACAGAAAGUGAAGCUCAUAUACAGAAGCAGGUUAGCUAAGAAUACAGUAUACAGCCUUUGUCAUUACUUUGCUGUUUGCCUGCUUCAUCUUAAAACCGAAAGUUGAAACCAACAUGGUGUUUCACAGGCACUGUUAGAAGAAAGGCUUGAGCAUCUGAGAACAGAAAAUGAACCUCACAUAGAGAAAGAGGUUAGUUAAAGAAUACAGUAAAGCCUUUGUCAUUACUUUGAUGUUUUCCUGCUCCAUCUUCAAGCUGAAAGGUGAAACUCAAGUGUUGUUUCACAGGCACUGUUAGAAAAAACGGUUGCGGAUUUGAGAACGCAAAAUGAAGCUCACAUAGAGAAAGAGGUUAGUUAAGAAUACAAUAAAGCCUUUAUCAUUAUUACUUUGCUGUUUUCCACCUGCAUCUUCAAGCUAAAAAGUGAAACUAAUGUGGUGAUUAACAGGGACUUUUAGAAGAGAGGCUUGAGCAUUUGAAAACAGAAAAUGAAGCUCACAUAGAGAAAGAGGUUAGUUAAGAAUACAAUAAAGCCUUUAUCAUUACUUUGCUGUUUUCCACCUUCAUCUUCAAGCUGAAAAGUGAAACUAAUGUGGUGAUUAACAGGGACUGUUAGAAGAGAGGCUUGAGCAUUUGAAAACAGAAAAUGAAGCUCACAUAGAGAAAGAGGUUAGUUAAGAAUACAAUAAAGCCUUUAUCAUUACUUUGCUGUUUUCCACCUUCAUCUUCAAGCUGAAAAGUGAAACUAAUGUGGUGAUUAACAGGGACUGUUAGAAGAGAGGCUUGAGCAUUUGAAAACAGAAAAUGAAGCUCACAUUCAAAGUGAGGUUAGCAUUUACCCGUCUUCACAUCUUUGCUAUUUUCCUUCGUUAUCUGCAAGCUGAAGAUUUUUUACAGGCACUGUUAGAAGAAAGGCUCUUGCAUUUGAGAACAGAGAAUGAAGCUUACAUACAAAAAGAGGUUAGUGAAUAAAUGGCAUAAAUCCAUAUCCACAGAUUUGCUAUUUUGCUGCGUUAUCUGCAAGCUUAAGGUCAAAAUGACGUGGUGUUUGACAGGCACAGUUAGAAGAAAGGCUCUUGCAUUUGAGAACUGAGAAUGAAACUCUCAAACAGAACGAGGUCAGUGAAGAAAAUAGCGUGCAGCUGUAUGCAUAUCUUUGUUAUUUUCCUGCAAGCCGAAGGUCAAAGUAACAUUGUGUUUAACUGUUUAUGCAGGAAAAGUUGGAGGAAAGACUUGUUCAGUAUAAAACAAAGAACGACGUGCUUGUUCAUGAAAUGGUGAGACAUCUUCAACCCUGGGAACGUUCCUUUAGUACCUAUUCAUAUAGAGCAACAUGUUAUGUGUAGUUCUGACACUUUGUUAAAAAUUGGCAGUCUAGUACAGAAGUCAAAAUGAGAGAAUUGCUUGACGAAAGAUCUACCUUCUCUCAGAAAGAGGUAUGUCUACAGUUGCAUCUUCUUCAGUUAAAAUACAUUCUCUUGUCGUAUAAAGGUAAUCCUAAUUUCAUGAUGUCAAUCAGGCAAGUCUAGAGAAAAAACUUCAGCAACUUCAACAUGAUGAAGAAUCUUCGACUGCAGCUGCGGAGGUAACUCUAUCUUACCUUGAAAGCACAUUUUUAAGCAAAGGGUCUUAUGAGUGGUAUACUCAUCAUAUACGUUCAAUCCUGCAGAAGUCAUCCAUAGAAAUGAUUUCGAGCCUGAACAAUGAAAUUGGAACACUGCGAGCACAGGUAUGUGUUUCACCUUUUAUUUUGAACAUUUGAAGUGGUUUUCUAUUUCCAUGAGUGGCUCAUUGAAUUGAGUCUGAAAGUGUUACUGUAGCAUCCUUAGUGAAUGUUUAGUUCUAUAACUCAUGUAGAACAGGAAGCUCUACUAAGCAUAAUACUGCGUAGGUUUAGUCUGAUAUCUAAUCUUAAAACAAAGUUUGGCAGGUAAUGAAGUUGGAAGAAUCUAGGAGUAAUCUUCAGGAGCAGAACAAUAGUCUUGUGGAAACUGUGUCCAGUCUUCAAGUCCAGCGUGAAAACCAUGACAAUAACGUGAAGGUUAGGCUUUGAUGUGAGACUAUAAUCCCUUUUCAAUGAAGUCCUUAGAAACAAAUCAUGAAAAGGUUUGUGAUGGUUGAUCCAGGGUGCUUCUGAGGACGAACUAAACUCACAGAUUGAAGCAGCUUGUACUCUAGUUGAAAAGCUUAUCACUGAAAAUGCUGAACUUGUUGAGAAGGUGAGGUGUACUGAUAUGGAUUCUACUGAGUUACCUACUUAACUUGUUGGCUGAUUGAAAAUCUCAGUGGUUAUUGUAUUACUACAUUGUCAGGUGAACGAGUUGUGCAUUCAGCUAAACCAAUCGCAGCGUGCUUUUGCUUCACCACCUGAGAGCCUAGCAAUUGAAGUACAGAAGUCUGAUGCCUUAGAGGAAAUACCCAUUCACGACGAGAUGAUUAGAAUUGACGACUCUGGAGACAUUGAAACUGCACUGUUGGAGAGAAACUUAUCAGAAGAAACAGUGCCGGUUUCUGUGAACCCGAAUGGGGAAAUAGAUGUGGAAUCACAGGUUGCAGUAGCUGGAGAAACAGAAGAAGUAAGUGGUGGUGUGCCUCUGGUGGACGCUCCACUGAUCGGUGCGCCGUUCAGGCUCGUCUCGUUUGUAGCAAGAUACGUGAGUGGUGCAGAUUUGGCGGAAAAGAAACAGUUUUUGUAAAACACAUUUUGGAGGCAGAAAAGAUGCAUCAAGUUCUGUAUCUCUCUUCUCUCUUUCUCAUACUAUACACAUGCACUCAGUGAGGAUCGUUGGUUAGCUUAUUGCACAACACUUAACAGGACACAAAGGUUUAUUAUGAUUUUGUUGGUAGGAUAAUGAUGGUGAUGAUGAACUGAAUACAUCAAGUUGCUCGAUGUCGUUUUGUUUUUCUUUCUCAGAAUUCAAAGGAAACCAUGAGAAAAGAGUUUCAAACAAAAGUUCUUCAGCCAUCUGAGCUAAGAUGUAUCAUGGAAACAGCAAACUCAAUGAUCGUUAACCAUGUGUGCAUUAGACACAUUAUAUUACACCAGAAAAUCAUUAAAAAAAACACACAGAUUUAUAACCGUGUUCUGAGAUUACAAUCUACUCAAGAAAUAAUGUCAAAUACAGAAUUAUAAGAAAGAUAUGGUAGUUUUGGAUCUAGAACACACAAGCACAAGUUGCAAUACUGCAGCAGCUGCAAUGGCCUCCUCUGUUACAGACGGGUCAUAUAUAUGAGACUGGUCUGGCUUCAACCUCUUUGCUCUCUACCUUGGUUGACAUCUUAUGUCUAGCCUACCCUUUUCGCUCCUUGUGAGCUUGUUCCUCCUCCACCCAGGAUUUUACUUUGUUUUUGAGAGCUUGCCGACAACUGGCCUCCGGUAGGGUCUUCAAAAAGGCUUGUAAGAAACAAGGUUGAACUUUCACCAGGAACCAGCCAAUCCGGUUCAGUUUUGGAUAAGAGAAGACCAUGUGUAUUAUACAAGCUUUCGAAAGCUACAAUCGUGCCUUUAACGAUGUUUCUGGAGAGGACAAUAAUAUUUGAGUAAGGAUAUGACAGUGCCCAAAAUGAUAUGUCCACUAGUAUCGAAGAUAUUCUCGCAUAGUCAUCACCUGGAAAGAAUGUGACUGAUGAUGAGAUAUUAGAUUGUAUUAAACAAAAAUAAUGUUUAAAACAAUUAAUUCAUUAACCUUCGGGUAAGAAAUCGAAUUCGACACAGGUCUCGAGACCAUUAGGUAGCAGUUCACCAGUAUCAACGUAAAGAUAGAUCGACAACUCCCCUUUAUAACCCUGCUUUACAAGAGCGUUUUUCAUAACGCCACAAAACAAUACAGGGUCGACACCAUUAGGAAUAGGGUAACCAGCCAUGUCCCAAAAGACUGAUGUCUUAGCGUCUGCAUGCAAACGAAAAAAAAAACGAUAUUAAACAAUUACGAGGACGAGGAAGAAAUUAAAAUAAAUAAAUCAAAAUUUUACUAUGACAGCAGAUCGACGAUUAGAUCAUACACUAGUUUUGUUACAAAAAAAAAAGAUCAGACACUAGUUUAAUUACGAUGACGUCAGAUCUCUCUAUGAGAUGAAAUCUAAUUCAGAUCACCGACGGAUGAUUUCAAGCAAAGAGGUAGAGAUAUUCUUACGUACUUUCGUAUAUUACGACCGGCAUAGGCACGGGUUUGCAGGUAAACUGCGGAUCAGACAUCAUCUCGGUAAACCGCGGAUCAGUCGUGCCUUCGUCCAUAACCAUGUCGAAAGGCUGCGGAAAAGACAUGCUUUCGUCGAUCUAGCUAGGGUUGGCUCUGUGGUUACUUGUAACUCUCCUUGUCUUCGUCUAUUUAUCCAAUCUCCCCCUCCAUAUAUAUGUCAGUGGGCUGGUUCGGCCGACCAGUUCAAAUUGUAACCUAGCCAAAUAAUUUCAUAAUUUGCACUGGUUUAUAUUUUAUUUUAAGUAAUUUUAAUUAUAUUGGCUUAACAAGUAUAUCCUAUAUAUUAUUUGUAAUUGUGAAAUAAGUCAAUAACUAAAUGAAAUGGAGAAAAAAAAUGAUCAUUUAGUUUAAAAAAUUUUGGGUUUCGCUUGACAAUUUAUUUGAUCAUGAAUUUGUACGUCGAUAAAAAAAAUAAUUGCUAUUAGACAAUUAUAAUAGAGAAGAUUGUCUCUGAAAAAAAAAUCUCAAAAGGUAUUUGCGUAUUCAAUAGCGUUAGAAUUGUUUUACAAAUCAAGAAAUCAUUAUCUGGAUUUUCAUAAAAGAUGAAAAAAUAGAAAACAUAGGAGAUAAAUAUGUGGAAGCACCAUAUAUAUAAGAACAAUAAAAGCAAAUAAUUUUUCAAAAAAAAAAAAUUUAAUGACAGUUCAUCACAAACAGCAGCUAAGCACCGCGGCGACCCGUCUCCUCUUCCGCUAAGACCACAUAUGGAACUUUAAGCGCAUGUUGGGCUCGUUGGGGGAAAGAAGGUAUCAGGAUGUUCAAUGGCAAAAUAGAAAUCUCUCUCUACCAAACUUUCAAUAACAUUCCAGACCUUGUGACGUUCUAGGAUGUUUUGGUUUUUAGUGAUUAUGAGCACAUUUGUUCCAUGAGGAUAAUGGGACAUUGCCCAGAAAAGAAGCUCCACUAACAUCAUGUUCAUUCGAGCAACUCUAUCCCCUGGAAACAGUAAAACCAACAUAUAUACACAUUAGUUAGAGUAGAUAGUGAGAGAAAAAAAAAAGUAAAAAUACCUUCAAAUAUUUUGGAAUAAAUUUCGGCUUCCAAAUACUUGUCAAGCAAUUCUUGGGGGAUGGUUUUCUUGUCACCAAAGUAACCCUUGAUAUUAAUCCGCCCACGAUAACCUUCUUUCUUAAUAGCUGUUAAGAUAUUCUCUUUAAGCAAAUGAGGAUUAGGGCUUGAGAAAUCCUCGGCGUCAAACAUAACAUACGUGGAACGCACUGCGAGGACAAAGUAAUAUCAUCAAGACAUAAUAACUAUAAACAAAAAAAAAAUCAGAUCGGGAAAACAAUGGAAUUUUAAAUCCCAUAUAUGAAAGAAAUUUAUUAUGAUGACAAAUCGAUCGGAUGAAAUCUACUCAUGAUGAACAAUUUAGAGAAAGUGAAUCGAUCUUACACAUCUCUUUUCUCUGAGGCUUGGGGAAAAGUCUGUCCAUCGUUUCGUCGGUGCUUGUGGACAUGGUUUCUACUCUGCGAACAAGAAAAUAGGAAAACCCUCCUCCUCUGCGUCAAUCCUAUAUAUAUAUUCAUAGAAAGGCCCAUGUGUUUUCUAUUGGGCUAGGCGCAGACGAAACGAUGUAUGAAAUCUAUACUAUUAAAAGGGAAGGAGUUUUAAAAAAUCUAGUUGUUGGACCCUUUCAUUAAACUUAACUAUUUUUUUUGGUCUCACCUUAUAUUUCUCCAACCAUGCAAUAGUCAAUUACCUUAUAUUUCUCUAACUAUGCAAUAAUCAAUUACCUUAUAUUUAUCUAAUUUAGUUUAAUAACAUAUUCUAAAUAUAUAUAUUCUAAAUAUAUUGUUAUAAUGAUUUUUGAUAAGAAUAUAUUAUAGAUGCGAUUGAAAAUUUAUAUUAUUAAAAGAAAAUAUUUUUAAAAAUAUUUAUAAAAAAAUUUAUAACAUCUAUAUAAAACUCUUUAUUUUUUAUCCUACCAUUAACUACAAUAACUAUAAAUAAUUUAAAUAAAUCCUAUUAUUAUUUCUCAUUUUGUAUGAUACACUUCUCUAAUUAUUUUUCUUAUUAUCAUCCAAUGUUAUUGUUGUUAUUCAAUAACGUUAUAUACAUCAUAUAUUAUGCUCAAAGAUGGAUAUAUAAUAUUUAGAUAUCAAUUAUUAAAAUGAAAGCAUAUAUCAUACAACAUAUUAUAUCAUGUCAUCUAACAUUAUAUAAUUCUAAAUAUUUACAAAAUCAAAUUUAAUAAAAAAAACACUUUAGCAAAUCAUUUGUUAAAACAAAAUUAUAUAUAUUUACGUUAAAUUAUUUUUUAUUACAUUAAUAUAUUAGAAGUUUCAUUCAUCUCUUAAAAUAUUAUUGAAGAUUAUUUUUUUCCUAGCAUAUAAACCAAAUGCCGGGUCACACUUGAUUGCAUGUUUUUUCGAAGUUUGCAUGCUUUAAAUUAACGAGUUUUCAUUAAAUCUAAACCAGCUUAUGUACAAGUCAUCGUGUUUACUGGUUCGACGACGGGUCCAAACUUAUUAUAAAAGUAUUGUUCUCAUCUAAUUGAAAAUAAUUUAUUAUAAAAUAACAGACGCACUGAGUCUAAUCAAUCCAUAUAUUUUUUUUUGAAAAAAGUAAUCAAACGAUUAAAAAUAUAAUUACAUAAUAAUAAUUUUUUUGACAUAAUAAUAAUUUUGUAACAUAAUAAUGUAUAAUAAAACUAAAAUACUAAUUCAUAUCAUAUAUUUUUAUCAACUGAAAAAUAAUCCGCACUUUUAAGCGCGGAUCAAAAUCUAGUAAUCUCUUAUAAACGCUACUACUUCAAAAGACAGAUGUCUUAGCGUGUCUGCAUGCAGACGAAAAAAACAAAACGAUUAAACAAUUACGUAGGACAAGGAAGGUAGACAAAACUAUAUAUAUAAAUCAAAAUUUUAAUAUGACAGCAGAUCGACCAGUAGAUCAUACACUAGUUUAAUUACGAUGACGUCAGAUCUCCGUCAGAUGAAAUCUAAUUCAGAUCACGGCUGGAUGAUUUCAAGCAUGGAGGUGGAGAUAUACAGAGAGAUAUUCUUACACACUUUCGUAUAUUACGACCGGCGUAGGCACGGGUUUGUAGGUAAACUGCGGAUCAGACAUCAUUUCGGUAAACCGCGGAUUAGUCAUGCCUGUUAAACCAAAUUACAUACAAUCAAUCUUACGAAUGUUGUUAAUACGUUUGCUUACUUCACACUCGUAGAUAAUUUAUAAACUUUUAUAAAUCCUACUCGAUUUAUAAACCCUUAUAAAAAGUUACGAGAUAAUUGUGUUUUUUUUUCUCACAACUUAACCGAUUAUGGUUUGAUAGAGGCUUGCCUGAGAAAUCUCCUAAAACAGAAUUUUGCCCUACAAUGAUGUGUAAUUUUGUACGCAUCUAUCUUGAGGAUACAACUAUCGAUCUCCGUACAACACACCCGUACCGAGACCCUUACAAACUUUACUUUGAAUUUAUUUUCAGAAACUUGUUAUGGGGAAGAAGAAGAUUAAAUUCAAUUGAUUCUCAGUCAUCUUCUUUUUUCAACUCUCUUUUAUCUAUCCCUUCUCGUAUUGUCCUGCCCUUGAUCGCUUUAUAUAUUGACUCAAGUAGUGCUUUUAAUCAAUGCAUGAGAUAUGUAUAAUGUGUGCAUUAGACACAAAUUAUUCCCACAUAAAAUCAAAAGAAAUUCAUCAAAACAAAACACAGAUUUAUAGUUUUAUACCAUGUUCUGAGUUUGCAAUCUACUCAGAAAUAUUGUCAGCUCCAAAGAUUCUAAGAAAGAUAUGGUAGUUUUGGAAAGUAAAACGUAGAAGAUUUGUAGCUUUUAGGCCUUAGGGUACUUGAAAAAUCAACAUGAAAUGAUGUGAACGAUUACUUUUUUAUAUAUUUUGGAAAUUUGGAAGAUGAGAAUCUCUUUUUUUAUUAUUAAUAUGAGAGUAGUUUUAAAUUAGCAUCUUAAAUAUAGGAAAUUGGUUGGUUUUGUAAUCUUGCAAAAUUCUAUAUGAUGUGAAAGUUGAUGGUUUAUAACUUAGUUAAGAAAAAUGGGGGUUAAGUCAAUGAUCCUUUUUUUCAUAUCAGUGUGUUAUAAAACGCGUUGGGCACUUGUUACCUCUAUGGCUCCUAUCACUUAACGUGGAUGCUUAAACGGAAUCUAAACAUAUAUAUAUAUAUAUAAUUAUUGCAUAUAACAUUAAUAUUAUUUUACUGAAAAUAAAGAGAAAUUUUCUAAGAAAGUUUUAAAAAAGAUUUUUAACAAAUAUAGCUACUAACGAUUAAAAUGACCAAAAUAUUUUAUUAAAAUGAUAAAUAUAUAUUUAUAUUUUCAGGAUAACUAAUAUAGAUUUAUGAUUCAGAGUUAAGGAGCAGUAUUUUGGAAAUGAUGCAUACAAUUUAAAAAAAUAAAAAUUAAUAUUAAAAAUUUGAAAUAGUUUUUCUAAAUAUUUUCAAAGAAAAUUUGAUUUUUUCUAAAUAUUUUAUUUAUUUAUUAUUUAUUUUAUUUAUUUAUUUAUAUUUAAAAUAAAUAUAAAUAAAAUAGUUUUUCUAAAUAUUUCGAAUUUUUUAAAAGAAAAUUUGAUUUUUUUUUUAAAACAUAUAAUUCAAAACUAUAAAAUAAUUUAUUUAUUUACUAUUUAUUUUAUUAUUUAUUUUAUUAUUUAUUUAUAUUUAUUAAUCUAGGGUAUAAAAGUAUUUUGACUUUUUAGUCAUUUUGAUCGUUAAGGCUUUUUUGUGACAAACAUUUAAAUGUUGUUUUUUUCGAGAGAAUUGUUCGCAAGUAAAAUAUAUAAAAAUAUAGUUUAAGAAUAUUGACUUAAUACUAACGAAACUAUAUAAAAAGUCGUGAGCUUCGAGAUCAUCUAGGAUAGACUCGAACACAUCUCAAGAGUAAUCAAGACGGUGAUUUAGGAGUCAUAACAUGCUUCAAAUGAAAUUUCAAAUAAGAUGUUUAUCUUCGUGAAAAGAAAAUAAAAAAAAAACUUAGUAUUCUUGAGACCAAAGCCGGAUCUGAGCACAGUUCCAUAAAACAUAAGUUCAAUUUUCGUAUAAAAAUACCUGCCUUUCAUUUUAUUGAAGAGAAAACCUCCCCCCAUUUGAACAAGAUGUUUAUCUUCGUGAAAAGAAAAUAAAAAAAACUUAGUAUUCUUGAGACCAAAGUCGGAUCUGAGCACAGUUCCAUAAAACAUAAGUUUUGGCCUUUAAAUUUUUGAAAAUUAUAUACAUAAAUAUAGACCUCCAAACUAUGGUUUUUACUAUUAUUAAAGUUAUUAAAUCUUCAUACUCUCUAAAUUUUUAGAUUUGGUCCUGCUUGGGACUGACAUGUAAUUGGAGAUUUUAUAUAGUACAUUUUUAUUGUUCAAAUGGAAGUAUCCCUCAGCACAAUUAAAGAAAUAUAAGGGAUAGAAAAGAAGGUGGUGUUGCGAGUGGCAUUCAAAUCUAUGAGAAUUCAAAGGCAAAGAAUGACGUGAAAAUAUAUAGAUAUCCAAAGGAGCGUUAAUGAGAUGAGCUCAUUGGUUAUUCUUUAUAAAUUUUAUGAUUGAAGCAACAACUCCUUAACGGAUUUGUCAAUGUAGUAGUGUUGACAACUCUUAGCUCCAUUAGUUGUUGUCCUUUACAUUUUCCAUUACACUACUACUACUUAUGUGUCAUCCACUUUUCUGUUGACAAAAGCUAAUGUCAAUCUAAUCCUUGUCAGCAUCCAAUCCAUCAUGUAAGUCUUAUUUGGUCGGUCCGUUUAUUGUUGGUUUGACAAAUUUGUGCUCAACCCUUAUUAAUCUUCUUGAUAAUUAUCAACAAGACCCUCUUAUUUGCUCUAGCAAAGAAUCUAUUCAACUUUGCCUGCAAGAUUACAUGAAUUGAGAUAUUACUAUGAAAACAAAAAAAACACAUUAAACAAGCUGAAUCAAAACCAGAUGACCGUUCAAAUUACCAUCAGGCAUAUUCUCAAGAAAACCUCAAAUGAAACCCUAAAACUUUGGUAUAGUUGACCCUGCAUAGAAAGUGCUUUAAGUAGGUUUAUCAUAUACAUAUAUACAUAUAUAUAUAUAUAUAUGAAAGCUAGUUAGCUCCUCCACCUAGUGAUGUAUACUAACUAAAAGAUAUAAUGGCACUUUAUAAAAUGCAAAUGAUGUAUUAUUAUUAGUACUAUAUAGGUAGUAGAGGAUGAUGUGCAAGGUAUGAGAAAGUGUUAGAAUAUAAAUAGUGGCGCAUAUAUAUUGAUUGUGUGUUAGUGAACUCGUGCGCUUGCUAAUUUUGACCCCAUUUACAUAGUUUAUAUUACUUUUGCGUACCUCAUAAGUUGAGAGACUUAGUGGAUGAAAUUAACCAGUAUCUUCUACCUAACCAAAGCUCUUUAAAUACUACUCUUUAACUAACAUCUCUUCUCACCACUACAAUACUCUAACUAAGCUGAUCCACCACCACAUACAUGUAUUAUUAUUCCCUUUUCAAGUAUCUUAUUACUUUCUCCUCUUAUUAGUGUUCUUGUUUCACCAUUGGUCUCGGUUACAACCAAACUCUUUCUUGAUCUCUCUCCUCUUGUGUCAAUAGAAAUCCCUCUAGUUGUAUUAAUUGUCCAUAGCAGAAUAAUGAAGAGCAUGGAGAAAUAUAAGAGAGUGAAGUUGCUUCUCAUCAUCUUUCUAGGAAUCUACUCAGUGGCAACGACCAGUGCAAGUCCAUGGCUGCCGAUGGAAGGAUAUAAUCCUGGUAGCUAUUGCUUAAGCUGGAGACUAGCAAUAGAGACCAACAAUGUACGCGCGUGGCGCACCGUUCCUAUUCAAUGUAUGCGUUAUGUUGAGGUAUACAUGCUUGCUGGCCAAUAUGACAGAGACGUUCAGUUAAUUGUGGAACAAAUUAGGGUCUAUCUCAGAGAGAUAGUCCUACCUGGAGAUGGUAUGGAUGCAUGGAUCUUCGAUGUUGAUGAUACUUGCUUCUCAAACGUCUUUUACUAUCGUCUCAAGAGAUACGGGUACACAAUUUCUUUUCCUUCUCACAUUUAACCAGUCUACUAAACACUAGUAGAAAAUAAUCCUAUAGCCACAAAAAAAUUCGUGAAGAAUAGUGAAAAAUAUGACUAGAUGUGUCAGUGCUAGAGUUGUAAAUAGAUAUCUCAGAAUAAAAAAUUAAAAAAGUAUAAAAAUCAUGAAAGAGGAGAGAAGCAUGUUCACCUGCAACAUUUUUAAGAAUCCAGAUGACCACAUGUCCUUCUCCAAUUGGAUUUGCUUUAGAAAAAUAAAACAAAAAUUGAAGUUUAAAUAAAAACAAAUGAAACUAGUAAUAUUUUUGGUUUGAGAUAUUUAAAUUUAGUAUCAACCGAUAAGGUUGCUCUUAUAUAUGUAACUAAUUAUGUCACGUUUUUAGAUAAACCGUGAGUAGGAAAUACACUGGUAGCUCAAGUGGUGUAUUAGAAGACAUCUUUAAAAGAAAACUAGUUUAACAUGUGUCACUUAGACCUAAAGUUAACAUGCAGAUGUGACCCUUAUGAUCCAACUGGAUUUAGAACAUGGGCGAUGAAAGGAGAGUCUCCAGCAAUACAGCCUGUUCUUGAACUGUUUAACGAACUGAUAGAAACAGGUUUCAAAGUUAUCCUAGUAACCGGAAGAGAUGAAGAAACUCUUGGCCAGGCAACACAAGAAAAUUUGCAUAAUCAAGGCUUCACUGGUUAUGAAAGGUUGAUUAUGAGGUUAGGAUCAGCUUUGCUUAUUUUUUUAAAGAUUUUUUUCAUAAUAUAAAAAGAAUAAUAGUAGGUCUUUCGUAAUGGGGACAAAUAUUAUAUUUUCAGGACGCCAGAGAACAAAAAGCACAGCGCAACAAUAUACAAAACAACAAUCAGAAAGCAAGUGAUGGAAGAAGGUUACAGGAUAUGGGGCAAUGUAGGUGACCAAUGGAGUGACUUACAAGGAGAAUAUUCAGGGAACCGCACCUUCAAGCUUCCUAACCCUAUGUAUUUUGUUCCUUAAGAAUUUUACUAUAAACCAUUUUCUACCAAUCAAAUUACAUGUACAACAUGAUCAUAUAUACACAAAGGUACAUCUCGACUUGUCAUGUGGCGGUCCAGUUUGCUCUUCCGUGAAAUCAUAAUAACAACAUGAUUUUCAAAUUCAUUCUAGUGAUCCACCUUCUGUCUUCUUCUCACAUUGGAACAACAAUAAAACCUCAUUGCUCAAAGGUUAUAUAUACCAUAGACAGAAAAAGAAUAUGAGAAUAUAAAUAAGCAAAAAAAUUAUAAGAGAUUCCAAAAUCAAACAAUAAGAAUCAAUCCAAUAAAUGUCUCUGUUUUUGUUUUUACAAUAACAAUUUUCAAUGCACGCCCCCUCCACAUGCACAUCAUUUUCCCUACGUAUAUAUUUUAUAUAUACUUUUUUCAUAUCUUUUUUUUUUUUUAAUAAUCUGUAAUGAAUCUCUGAUGUAGUCUCAUAACGACGAAUAAGUAAAAAUAAAUAAAUAAAUUAAAGGAAGGAAAACCACAUGGUCGCUCACCGGAGAGAGACCAUAGGGAGACCUUGACCACCACCACUGCAGUCAUUACUGGGCCAAACCAACACAUGAGUGUUUGUGUAUGCAGACAAUGUACCUUUGGUUGAAGAAGAUUAAACCAUUUUAAAACGCUCCUUUAGCAUCCUGUUUUGGGGCGUUUACCACUUGAGUUAAAAGGCGAAACGCUUCCACCGCCGCUUGGUCCUGGACUCUCUUCCCGCAAGGUGUUCGAGUUUAUCAACGCUAGCUCCCUUAGCUGCUGUCUCUUUAUGAAAUCUUGCGACUCGUCCUUCAUUACAACCACCAAACACAAAG